UCUGUGUUUUGAGCAGUGUGUAGAUGGAGAAACAGCAAGUAUUGUAAUGUUCCAUUGCAUGGAGCCGGAAGCAGAAGACGUUCUUUCACCGGAGCCUCAGCGUCGCUCCAUCUGCUCCAACUGCGACCGCCCCACGCGCGUCUGUCUCUGCCACGCGCUUCCUUUUCCUCCGAUUCAAACCGCCACUCGUAUCCUCAUCGUGCAACACCCUCACGAGGCUCGCCACAAGCUCUCCACCACCCCAAUCCUCAACAAGUCCCUCCUCCGCGCCUCCUCCGUCACCUCCCGCCGCCUCCGUCGCGGCCUCUCCCCAAUCCUCGACCGCUCUCCCCCCGCCCUCUACCUCUUCCCCUCCUCCGCCUCCUCCACAACCCCCGCCCUCCACAUCUCCGCCGUGCGCCCCUCCGCCGACCUCGUCCUCAUUGCCUUCGACGCCACGUGGCAGCACGCUCGCGAGAUGGUUCGGGCCAGCGAGAAUUUCCUCUCCGAGUUCGCCACUAGGGUUUGUCUGGACGUGGAUGAGAGUAUUGGCGGCGGAAGCAUUUAUGACUCCGAAUUGAUUUUGCGGAAGGAGCCUUUCGCCGGGUGCGUUAGCACAAUGGAGGCUGUGGCUCGGGCCUUGCGCGUGCUCGAGCCCAAUGGGCCCGAGAUUGAAGAGAAGCUGGUUGGGGUUUUGAGGGAGAUGGUGAGGUUGCAGGCUGGUUUCUUGAAGCCCGUGAAGCCCAGGCCGAAGUUGUUGAAGAAAAAGUCCGAGGGAAAGGAAAAGAAGGAGGGUUCUGUUCAAGUGAUAAGCUAAUGAAAUGAAGAGGAAUCUGGAUUCACGGGCUGUGCCUACUAAUGUUGCAGUUCGUGUCAUUUUGAGGUUAAGACAUGAGAGGGGACUGCAGACCAUUUUUGACAUGCGACUUCCUCAGAUGAGCUGAUAAUUGAUAUUUAAAGCUCGGUUUCCAUGAAAGCUCCAGAAUAGCCCAACAAACUACAGAAGAAUUCAAAUAUGCGCAUUGGGGUCAUCAGAGGAUGACUGGAUCUUUAGUUCCAGAGACAUUACCAUUCUUGGAAUUAGCCGCCAAAAUAUGGUAAUGGACUAAAAAUUGCCAGAGCCACCCAUUCCUAACACAUUUGACCCGUUCCCUUUUAGUGAAAAGUUGGAUCAUUACUGACAUGAUCUUGGGUUGAGUUGGAUAUGGUUUGCAGAAAACCAUCAUUGCGUGGGUUUGAACGUGGCAUACGAAAUGGGUUGAGUUGGAUUCACUUAGAUGAGUUACCAAGGUGCGUGUAUGGCUUAGGCUCAGGAAGUGAUGUGUGUUGAAUGAUGUCUUUGUUCUGGGUUUUUAUAAUGGUUGUAGAGCAACCAGCAUCUUACACCGUAGUCCUAACCGGGAAGGGAAGUAUAAUCUAAAUCAACAUCUGAAGGAAAGGAAUAAUGAAUACUUGAUACUAGUCGAAAAGGAGAUGCAGGUGCUUGUUUUGUGUCUCCAUUUUCCAAGUUUUGUAAAUAUUCAAAUCCCAAAGAUUUAGCAGCAAAGUCUAGAAUGUGAUUACCAUGCUAUACUUUUCCCAAGGAGAGGACUAAUUCGAGA
Vigna umbellata (rice bean) is the source of this 1580-nucleotide non-coding RNA. The record is from RefSeq and is a predicted model, not a curated record. NCBI's taxonomy places the organism in Eukaryota, Viridiplantae, Streptophyta, Magnoliopsida, Fabales, Fabaceae.